UCAGUCGGCCAAGAAUUCCAACAAGUUGACGCCGAAGUGGGAAGGCCCUUAUCGGGUGAGACAGGUCACGAGGCCCGGCGCUGUCCGCCUCGAGACCGAAGAAGGCUUACCAGUGAGCAACUCCUGGAACAUAGAGCAUCUUCGCAAGUUUCACCCAUAAGGCACGGUUGCCGUGAUCCGCUCCGGCAACCACCGUUUUGUACAGGCCUUGCCGCUGUUGCAUGUAACCCCUUGUACAAAGCCAGGCGCAGACCCUGGCAGCAGAUAAAGAAACCCUGGUAGGCGACCUUGUUCUUCGGCGUGUUCAGUCCGCCAAGAAUUCCAACAAGUUGACGCCGAAGCAGGAAGGCCCUUAUCGGGUGAGACAAGUCACGAGGCCCGGCGCUGUCCACCUCGAGACCGAAGAAGGCUUACCAGUGAGCAACUCCUGGAACAUAGAGCAUCUUCGCAAGUUUCACCCAUAAGGCGCGGUUGCCGUGAUCCGCUCCGGCAACCACCGUUUUGUACA
This 508-nucleotide long non-coding RNA is filed under the name Triticum aestivum (bread wheat). RNAcentral's name for it is "long non-coding RNA (TAES_LNC019995)". Lineage: Eukaryota; Viridiplantae; Streptophyta; Magnoliopsida; Poales; Poaceae. The record is from RNAcentral.